AUACUUACCUGGAUGGGGUGAAUGGGUGAUCAAGAAGGCCCAUGGCCUCCGUUGGUGACCUCCAUUUUACUUUUGGAGGGCUGCCACCCUAAGGUCUUCCCAAAUGGGAGAGCCGACGUCACUAUUUGUUGCAGUUGGGGCCUGCGUUCUCGUGGCCUAGU
This is a small nuclear RNA of Quercus robur (English oak), 161 nucleotides long. RefSeq annotates it as U1 spliceosomal RNA. The transcript has a single exon. The record is from RefSeq and is a predicted model, not a curated record. Lineage: Eukaryota; Viridiplantae; Streptophyta; Magnoliopsida; Fagales; Fagaceae.